Molecule: non-coding RNA, 421 nt
Organism: Bemisia tabaci
Lineage: Eukaryota; Metazoa; Arthropoda; Insecta; Hemiptera; Aleyrodidae
Source: RefSeq, a predicted model, not a curated record
AAAUAAAAGUUACAAUUAAAAUGCUAGUUAACUUCUUGUAUUUUUAUACGGUUUUUGUAAUAAUAAAUAAAUAAAAUUAAAUCAAUUCAUGAGAAUGAAAUACAACUCAUACAUGUGACUUCCAACCAUUUAAUUCAAACUGGGCAGAAAGAGUUGAUUGUAGACAGAGCUUGGUCACAUUCUAAGUUCUAUCUAAAUUUACAUCUUUCUAACGCCAACUGAGCACUAUCAGAAAUUCUCUUAACCAUAAAUAUAGGACGUACUUGGGAGGGGAAUUAGUGUCAUGUGAACUGACUCAGAAUCUCAACUUAAAAUGAAAAACAACGACUUUCUUCUUACAAUAUGCAAGAAAGCAGAGUCCUUGAUUCCCUAUAACUUGCAAGACCGAGAUUCAAAGACACUUUCAUCCCAUACACUUAAA